Molecule: ribosomal RNA, 473 nt
Filed under: uncultured bacterium
Lineage: Bacteria
Description: bacterial SSU rRNA
Rfam family: Bacterial small subunit ribosomal RNA
Source: RNAcentral
ACUCCUACGGGAGGCAGCAGUGGGGAAUAUUGCACAAUGGGCGCAAGCCUGAUGCAGCCAUGCCGCGUGUAUGAAGAAGGCCUUCGGGUUGUAAAGUACUUUCAGCAGUGAGGAAGGUGGGUAUGUUAAUAGCAUAUUCAUUUGACGUUAGCUGCAGAAGAAGCACCGGCUAACUCCGUGCCAGCAGCCGCGGUAAUACGGAGGGUGCGAGCGUUAAUCGGAAUUACUGGGCGUAAAGCGCAUGCAGGUGGUUUGUUAAGUCAGAUGUGAAAGCCCGGGGCUCAACCUCGGAAUUGCAUUUGAAACUGGCAAACUAGAGUACUGUAGAGGGGGUAGAAUUUCAGGUGUAGCGGUGAAAUGCGUAGAGAUCUGAAGGAAUAACCGGUGGCGAAGGCGGCCCCCUGGACAGAUACUGACACUCAGAUGCGAAAGCGUGGGGAGCAAACAGGAUUAGAUACCCUGGUAGGAUAGCG